GGCAAUGGACGAAAGUCUGACCGAGCAACGCCGCGUGAGUGAAGAAGGUUUUCGGAUCGUAAAACUCUGUUGUUAGAGAAGAACAAGGACGUUAGUAACUGAACGUCCCCUGACGGUAUCUAACCAGAAAGCCACGGCUAACUACGUGCCAGCAG
Molecule: ribosomal RNA, 155 nt
Filed under: uncultured Bacillota bacterium
Lineage: Bacteria; Bacillati; Bacillota
Description: uncultured Firmicutes bacterium partial 16S ribosomal RNA
Rfam family: Bacterial small subunit ribosomal RNA
Source: RNAcentral